AGAUUGAACGCUGGCGGCAUGCUUUACACAUGCAAGUCGAACGGUAACAGGCCGCAAGGUGCUGACGAGUGGCGAACGGGUGAGUAAUGUAUCGGAACGUGCCCAGUCGUGGGGGAUAACGCAGCGAAAGCUGCGCUAAUACCGCAUACGAUCUAUGGAUGAAAGCGGGGGACCGUAAGGCCUCGCGCGAUUGGAGCGGCCGAUAUCAGAUUAGGUAGUUGGUGGGGUAAAGGCUCACCAAGCCAACGAUCUGUAGCUGGUCUGAGAGGACGACCAGCCACACUGGGACUGAGACACGGCCCAGACUCCUACGGGAGCAGCAGUGGGGAAUUUGGACAAUGGGCGCAAGCCUGAUCCAGCAAUGCCGCGUGCAGGAAGAAGGCCUUACGGGUUGU
This 395-nucleotide ribosomal RNA is filed under the name uncultured soil bacterium. RNAcentral's name for it is "bacterial SSU rRNA". It matches the Rfam family "Bacterial small subunit ribosomal RNA", at positions 26 to 426 of the family's 1533-position model. The record is from RNAcentral.